RNAcentral lists this ribosomal RNA (1436 nucleotides) under uncultured Bordetella sp. Its description in RNAcentral is "partial 16S-23S ribosomal RNA intergenic spacer". It matches the Rfam family "Bacterial small subunit ribosomal RNA". The record is from RNAcentral. Lineage: Bacteria; Pseudomonadati; Pseudomonadota; Betaproteobacteria; Burkholderiales; Alcaligenaceae.
GUUUUGAUCAUGGCUCAGAUUGAACGCUGGCGGGAUGCUUUACAUGCAAGUCGAACGACAGCACAGACUUCGGUCUGGUGGCGAGUGGCGAACGGGUGAGUAUGUAUCGGAACGUGCCUAGUAGCGGGGGAUAACUGCGCGAAAGCGUAGCUAAUACCGCAUACGCCCUUCGGGGAAAGCAGGGGACCUUCGGGCCUCGCACUAUUAGAGCGGCCGAUAUCGGUUAGCUAGUUGGUGGGGUAACGGCUCACCAAGGCGACGAUCGUAGCUGGUUUGAGAAGACGACCAGCCACACUGGGACUGAGACAGCCCCAGACUCCUACGGGAAGCGGCAGUGAAAUUUUGGACAAUGGGGAAACCCUGAUCCAGCCAUCCCGCGUGUGCGAUGAAGGCCUUCGGGUUGUAGCCCACUUUUGGCAGGAAGAAACGGCCUGGGAUAAUACCCCGUGCAACUGACGGUACCUGCAGAAUAAGCACCGGCUAACUACGUGCCCUUCGUACUGAUAUACGUAAGUGCAAGCGUUAAUCGGAAUUGCUGGGCGUAAAGCGUGCGCAGGCGGUUCGGAAGAAGAUGUGAAAUCCCAGAGCUUAACUUUGGAACUGCAUUUUUAACUACCGAGCUGAAGUGUAUGGGGAAGUGGAAUUCCGCGUGUAGCAAGUGAAAUGCGUAGAUAUGCGGAGGAACACCGAUAGCGAAGGCGGCCUCCUGGGAUAACACUGACGCUCAUACUGGCAAUGGGGAGCAAACGGGAUUAGAUACCCUGGUAGUCCACGCCCUAAACGAUGUCAACUAGCUGUUGGGGCCUUCGGGCCUUGUUGGCGCAGCUAACGCGUAAGUUGACCGCCUGGGGGAGAGUACGGUCGCAAGAUUAAAACUCAAGGAAUUGGUGGGGACCACACAAGCGGUGGAUGAUGUGGAUUAAUUCGAUGCAACGCGAAAAACCUUACCUACCCUUGACGUGGAAUCCCGAAGAGAUUUGGGAUUGCUCGCAAGAGAACCGGAACACAGGUGCUGCAUGGCUGUCGUCAGCUCGUGUCGUGAGAUGUUGGGUUAAGUCCCGCAACAGGCACAACCCUUGUCAUUAGUUGCUGCGAAGGGCUCUAUUGAGACUACCGGUGACAAACCGGAAGGUGGGGAUGACGUCGAGUCCUCCUUGUGUUACCCUUAUGGGUGGGGCUUCACACGUCAUACAAUGGUCGGGACAGAGGGUCGCCAACCGCGAGAGGCAAUCCCAGAAACCCGAUCGUAAGUCCGGAUCGCAGUCUGCAACUCGACUGCGUGAAGUCGGAAUCGCUAGCAAUAAUCGCAGAUCAGCAUGUCGCAGUGAAUACGUUCCCGAUUGGCAUACACACCGCCCGUCACACCAUAGAAUUAGGUUUUGCAGAAGUAGUUAGCCUAACCGCAAGGCGAUUACCACGGUAGGAUUCAUGGCUAG